This 2763-nucleotide long non-coding RNA is filed under the name Androctonus crassicauda. Lineage: Eukaryota; Metazoa; Arthropoda; Arachnida; Scorpiones; Buthidae. The record is from RNAcentral.
GGGGGGGGAGAAAAAAAAAAAAAAAAAGGGAUUUUAGGCAAAAAAAACAAAAAAAAAAAAAAUAUAUUCUAUUUGCAUAUCAAAACAACAUCCAGAAACAAAUUAAGGACGUUAAUAAAAUUUAUAAAUUAAUACUCGGUGGCUGAUUUCUAUUUUAAGAUAGGAAUUUUGACAACAUUCCAAGGCUUGAUUAGUCUUUACUUAACUUCUUUCCUUUAUAAUUCAGAAGGGUUCAUGCGUAUGAAUGAAAUCACGCUGAGUCUGUUUAUGUAGGUCCCGCAGACCCAAUCAGCAGUUGUCUCGCAUACUUCAACCCGUUGGAUGAGGAACUGAUAUGAACCAGUUCUCUGCAUUAUUUAUUUUGUGCAUCAAUCGUGCAAGGCCCUGAUGGGUCUGCUCUUGAUUCCUACACCUGUUCUAUCCUUCAACUGCUCACUGGACUAUAAAUUUUAAGCCUUUACAACUGACAUAGUAAAAAAAAGACAAUUUGAUUUAUAAUUUAUCUAGCUAUAUAAGAAAGGUGCGAGGCAUUCCCCCUCUCGGUUGUGUAGCUUUACUAUUAUAAAUAAUCGAACACGUUUUAUGUUUGAUUACCUAUACAAUGCUAUUUGCGUGUCGAGGUCUUCAACCCAUUCGAGAGGCCCUGGAUGGAUAUUAGACCCUCUGGACUUCCCCUAUAACUGCGGGAUACCUAAACUAAAAAUUGGCAUUGAAUACGAAUUUUUAGGAUUUUUUGAAGGGUUCACCAUACUAUUAAUGGCUGCAGUUUUAAAGUUCCUCCCAUGUUUUGAACCAGUAGGAAUUGAUUAGUUUUGAGAGGUCUGAUGUAAGAGUUUUAAAGCUCUUUAAAACUGUCUGCACUUCCACAUGAUGACGCGAUUAUCUAUAACUUAUCGAGUAUUAAUCGCUAAAAAAAAAAAAAAAAAAAAAAAAAAAAAAAAAUGUUUCGAUCGAGUAAAGUAGUCUAAAGGAAGUCCAUCUCUUUUAUCUUCACUAGAUAAAUCUGGACCCGAUUAGAAACAAAUUUUCUUUUGAUGUACACGCUUUAAAGAGGAGAUAUUUCUAAAUUCGAAGCAUGGAACUGUGACAUUAAAAAUUCCUUCCUUUGAGAAUUAAAAAUUUUUUCAAAGAUCGUUUUAUUUGUAUUGUUCCGAAUUUGCAUAUUGUCACUUCCUUGAGGUUCUUAUAAUUAACAUUUCUACGAUCGGCUGACUCUGUUCAAGAACAAAUUUUAAAAGUUUAAAAUCAAUUAAAUAGGAAUUUAGCAAUUAAAUUUAAUAAAUUUUAAAACUGAUCUCGAACUUGUUGGAUAUUGUUAAGCUAAUGGUUUUAGAAAUUAGUGAGUUAGCUUAAGUGCGAAACAGUAAGGAAAGGUUGUAGCAAUCUGUCGCAAGAGGUUACACAACAAUACGGAUCACUUUAUUGUGUACGGCAGGAUAAUAAGAGAUUUUUAGGUAAUAUCAACUGAGCUGGAAGUUGCGCAAAUAUACUUCACGGGAGUUCGCACAACUGGGAACCAUUUUGCAUGAUAAGCACAUUAAAGAUUUUUAUCAUUUUGAUCAUUAUCAUUGUAGAAACAUUCAUCUUUGUGUAUUUGGAUGGCAAUUUAUCAAGUUUCUGUUUCUUUCAUAUACUGUUUGUUAAAAAUUUUUGCUAUUGGUGGCGACGUUCUUCUUGAUUAACUGGUCAUCCAAGCAGCAGAAUUGUAGCUAAGGUCAAGGAGGUUAUUUAUAGUUUUAAUUGCGGACUAGAAGUCGUGUAAGAUAGAAACAUUCUAAUAUGUCUUUCAGAAAUGUUUAUUUAGAUAUUUAAGUUGAAAUAAUUGGAUAAAUCGCGAAUAUCUUUAAAGAAUGGGUAAGCUACCACCCUAUCAAUAAAAGUUAACUCAUCCUAAAUUGGUUUUGGAACAUUGGCUCAUCUACAGACGAUGAAUCGAUAAUUUUGAAGCCUUUCUAUACAACAUGCGAAAGUAGGGGAUAUUUGGAGAAGCAAUAAAGUAUUAUAUUUAUUUAAAAUGGAAAUACGAUGAGCUUAUCUUUAAGAGAACUCGUAAUCAUUGAUUUAUUUAUUGUCGCAGACAAAUUUUUAUGUUAUCAUUCAACAUUUUAAAUAUUUAUGGUGUAGUAGUAACAAAACAAAAAUUAAUUUUACCUCGUUUGUUUGAUGUAUAAAGCUUUCUUUUAAUUUCACGUAAAGGUUGCGUGAGCUAGUUUAUCGCGUGCGAUAUCUGUUACAAAACUUAACAUAGUUUAUGCUAUCGUGACAUAACAAUUCCUAAUUUUUCUCCGUCUUGUACGAUUAUCAAUAAUGGCCCUAUUACUUUAUUGUAUCUAUAGAAAGUAAUCUUUUUUUACUUGUGGAAUGAAUAUUACUUCUUCAAUUGUUUUCUUAUGGCAAAGGUCUAUUGAUUGCAUGGGCAACAUGUUUGCAACUAGUACGAGAUUUUUUCCCCAUUUGGGGUCCUGCCAAAGGAUUGCAAUCGUCUAAUUUUGUAUAUACUCUUUGGAGAAAGGGAUAAAAAUGUUUUCCAUCCUUUUUAAUAAAAUUAGAUUGGAAUUGUGAGGUUGUAAAGCAAUAAAUUCGUCGUUAUAAUAAUAGUCACGACAUUAUGAAGUGGAUAAACAAGUUUUUUUGCCUUUGAGAAGAGCUAAUUUGCACAUGAAAGUCAUUUCUAGUUCAUUACAGGCUUGUUUGAUCUGUUGCUGUAUGUAAAAUAUAUGUUUACAAAUUGCAGAAAGAAGAAAAGAUAGAAAUAUAGUUCAG